Molecule: long non-coding RNA, 303 nt
Organism: Apus apus (common swift)
Lineage: Eukaryota; Metazoa; Chordata; Aves; Apodiformes; Apodidae
Exons: 3
Source: RefSeq, a predicted model, not a curated record
UCCAAGGCACCGUGUCCCUCCUCUCUCACUGUCUGGGGAAGGGGAAGAACGUCUCCCUCAUCCUGAAGGGUGCUGGGGUGCUCCUCAUAGAGGGCAGCAAGGUGCAAAUGAAGUUCUACUAUGACUUCCUGGACAGGAUGUCUGGGAAGGAGAACUUGGAGAAAGCUGUUUCCCAGGUCCCCCAGCUGCUGAACAUGACUGUGUCCCCGGUGGUGCCCGUGGCCUCACUGACUUUCUCUGGCCAUGUCAUCAUCUUUCCCGAGUUUGAAAUGGAGGUUGUGUCCAAACCACCACCCAGGCCUC